RNAcentral lists this ribosomal RNA (408 nucleotides) under bacterium. RNAcentral describes it as "partial 16S ribosomal RNA". It matches the Rfam family "Bacterial small subunit ribosomal RNA", at positions 355 to 775 of the family's 1533-position model. The record is from RNAcentral.
UGGGGAAUAUUGCACAAUGGGCGAAAGCCUGAUGCAGCGACGCCGCGUGAGGGAUGACGGCCUUCGGGUUGUAAACCUCUUUCAGUAGGGACGAAGCGCAAGUGACGGUACCUGCAGAAGAAGCACCGGCUAACUACGUGCCAGCAGCCGCGGUAAUACGUAGGGUGCGAGCGUUGUCCGUAAUUACUGGGCGUAAAGAGCUCGUAGGCGGUUUGUCACGUCGUCUGUGAAAUCCUAGGGCUUAACCCUGGACGUGCAGGCGAUACGGGCUGACUUGAGUACUACAGGGGAGACUGGAAUUUCUGGUGUAGCGGUGGAAUGCACAGAUAUCAGGAAGAACACCGAUGGCGAAGGCAGGUCUCUGGGUAGUAACUGACGCUGAGGAGCGAAAGCAUGGGUAGCGAACAG